This 440-nucleotide ribosomal RNA is filed under the name uncultured bacterium. RNAcentral's name for it is "partial 16S ribosomal RNA". It matches the Rfam family "Bacterial small subunit ribosomal RNA", at positions 338 to 795 of the family's 1533-position model. The record is from RNAcentral.
CCUACGGGAGGCAGCAGUGGGGAAUAUUGCACAAUGGGGGAAACCCUGAUGCAGCGACGCCGCGUGAGUGAAGAAGUAUUUCGGUAUGUAAAGCUCUAUCAGCAGGGAAGAAAAUGACGGUACCUGAUUAAGAAGACCCGGCUAACUACGUGCCAGCAGCCGCGGUAAGACGUAGGGGGCAAGCGUUAGCCGGAUUUACUGGGUGUAAAGGGAGCGUAGACGGCAGCACAAGUCUGGAGUGAAAUGCCGGGGCUUAACCCCGGAACUGCUUUGGAAACUGUGCAGCUAGAGUGCAGGAGAGGUAAGUGGAAUUCCUAGUGUAGCGGUGAAAUGCGUAGAUAUUAGGAGGAACACCAGUGGCGAAGGCGGCUUACUGGACUGUAACUGACGUUGAGGCUCGAAAGCGUGGGGAGCAAACAGGAUUAGAUACCCCGGUAGUC